CCUACGGGAGGCAGCAGUGAGGAAUAUUGGUCAAUGGGCGAGAGCCUGAACCAGCCAAGUCGCGUGAAGGAUGACGGCCCUACGGGUUGUAAACUUCUUUUGUCAGGGAGCAAUUGGGUCCACGCGUGGGCUUAGCGAGAGUACCUGAAGAAAAAGCAUCGGCUAACUCCGUGCCAGCAGCCGCGGUAAUACGGAGGAUGCGAGCGUUAUCCGGAUUUAUUGGGUUUAAAGGGUGCGCAGGCGGCGAGUUAAGUCAGCGGUAAAAUUUCGGGGCUCAACCCCGACAAGCCGUUGAAGCUGGCUUG
RNAcentral lists this ribosomal RNA (305 nucleotides) under uncultured bacterium. RNAcentral's name for it is "bacterial SSU rRNA". It matches the Rfam family "Bacterial small subunit ribosomal RNA", at positions 338 to 640 of the family's 1533-position model. The record is from RNAcentral.